UACGUAGGGUGCGAGCGUUGUCCGGAAUUAUUGGGCGUAAAGAGCUUGUAGGCGGUUUGUCGCGUCUGCCGUGAAAAUUCGAGGCUCAACCUCGAACUUGCGGUGGGUACGGGCAGACUAGAGUGCGGUAGGGGAGAUCGGAAUUCCUGGUGUAGCGGUGAAAUGCGCAGAUAUCAGGAGGAACACCGGUGGCGAAGGCGGGUCUCUGGGCCGAUAUUGACGCUGAGGAGCGAAAGCGUGGGGAGCGAACAGG
This 253-nucleotide ribosomal RNA is filed under the name uncultured bacterium. Its description in RNAcentral is "partial 16S ribosomal RNA". It matches the Rfam family "Bacterial small subunit ribosomal RNA", at positions 524 to 776 of the family's 1533-position model. The record is from RNAcentral.